AGAGUUUGAUCCUGGCUCAGGACGAACGCUGGCGGCGUGCCUAAUACAUGCAAGUCGAACGCGAAAGGUCUGAAGCCUUCGGGCGGAGGGCCGAGUAGAGUGGCGAACGGGUGAGGAACACGUAGGUGACCUGCCCCGGAGAGGGGGAUAACCGUCGGAAACGGCGGCUAAUACCCCAUAAGCUCACGCGAGUUAGAGGGCGUGUGAGAAAAGCUCCGGCGCUCCGGGAGGGGCCUGCGGCCCAUCAGCUAGUUGGUAGGGUAAAGGCCUACCAAGGCGAAGACGGGUAGGGGGCCUGAGAGGGUGGUCCCCCACAUGGGAACUGAGACACGGUCCCAACUCCUACGGGAGGCAGCAGUAAGGAAUAUUGCACAAUGGGCGCAAGCCUGAUGCAGCAACGCCGCGUGCCCGAGGACGGCCUUCGGGUUGUAAAGGGCUUUUCUGGCUGACGAGGAAGGACGGUAGGCCAGGAAUAAGCGUCGGCUAACUACGUGCCAGCAGCCGCGGUAAU
This 511-nucleotide ribosomal RNA is filed under the name uncultured bacterium. RNAcentral's name for it is "bacterial SSU rRNA". It matches the Rfam family "Bacterial small subunit ribosomal RNA", at positions 8 to 524 of the family's 1533-position model. The record is from RNAcentral.